This is a long non-coding RNA of Monodelphis domestica (gray short-tailed opossum), 1032 nucleotides long. RefSeq lists it as uncharacterized. The record is from RefSeq and is a predicted model, not a curated record. NCBI's taxonomy places the organism in Eukaryota, Metazoa, Chordata, Mammalia, Didelphimorphia, Didelphidae.
UAACUUGGGAUUUCCCGGGCCCAUUGUCAAGUCAGCCGAACCCAGGGCUCCUCCAUUGUGAUGAUAAUGGAUUCCGUGUUGUUGGCUCAAAGGUCACAGGGUCACCGUAAGCUCCUUAAUGGACUGUGAAAUAACUUUAACUGCAUUAACCUCUCCGGAUCACAUGGGUGGCACCAACAUCCACUCCUGAAAUUCUCAUUCGCUUAUAGAGACAAUACUAUUAGAUUAUUAUAUUUUCCAUUUGCAAUAGCAAUAGGCUUGAAGCAAUUAUGCAGCUAAGCAUUUCCAUUAAGCCAAUAGGACCUUAAAGAAGAUUAACUAGAGCACCUUUUGCAUCAGAUGGAAGGGGGUGGGGGAAGAAAACUCUGACUCUCACCAGAGUUCAGGUAUCUUCAAACUUGAAGGUAGCUGGUCUUACUAGACACAGAUACCUAAUGGAAAAAGUCUCACUGAAGGGUGCCAAGAAGAACUAUGAUUCCCUCUCAUGGCUACACAGCUUAGCCAGAUCUACACAAAGUAAAUCAAAUUGGAUAUUGAAAUCAGGCAGCACCAGAUAACAAUGCAGAAAUUGGAAGAAGAUGUGGUCACAGAAAAUUCAUACUAAUUCCUCCCUAUUCCCUCCCUGUUAAAGAUGCAGCUUCUUAAUUCUUCACUUUCUGCCAUCAGAGUGGUAUCCUUUGCAUAUCUGAAAUUGUUGAUACUUCUGACAUCCUUAACUCCAGCUUUUGAUUUAUCCAGCCUGUAUGACCUUCACCCUGGAAAUAAUAGACCAAAAAUGAUUUAUAGGAAAAUGAUAUCCAAGACAAGAAAGGAGAUAACAAGAAAGUCCCUAUCUGCCCUUAAUGAAUCCAAGUCACCUGGCCCAGAUGAAUGACUUCCUUGAAUCCUGAAAAAAACUGACAGAUGGGAUUGCUGAGCCAGUAUCAAUGAUAUAUGAAAGACCAGUGAAAAUGGGAGAGGUGACACAAGACUGGAAAGAGGACAAAUGUCUGAAUUUCCAAAAACGGAGAAAAUUAAAUCUUCAAAAUAUAG